GAAAUGCGAUAAGUAGUGUGAAUUGCAGAAUUCAGUGAAUCAUCGAAUCUUUGAACGCACAUUGCGCCCUUUGGUAUUCCAAAGGGCAUGCCUGUUCGAGCGUCAUCUGUACCCUCAAGCUUUGCUUGGUGUUGGGCGUCUUGUCUCUAGCUUUGCUGGAGACUCGCCUUAAAGUAAUUGGCAGCCGGCCUACUGGUUUCGGAGCGCAGCACAAGUCGCACUCUCUAUCAGCAAAGGUCUAGCAUCCAUUAAGCCUUUUUUCAACUUUUGACCUCGGAUCAGGUAGGGAUACCCGCUGAACUUAAGC
Molecule: unclassified non-coding RNA, 307 nt
Filed under: plant metagenome
Description: partial contains 5.8S ribosomal RNA, internal transcribed spacer 2, and large subunit ribosomal RNA
Rfam family: 5.8S ribosomal RNA (bases 1-105)
Source: RNAcentral